CCUACGGGAGGCAGCAGUGAGGAAUAUUGGUCAAUGGACGAGAGUCUGAACCAGCCAAGUAGCGUGAAGGAUGACUGCCCUAUGGGUUGUAAACUUCUUUUAUAUAGGAAUAAAACGAGGCACGUGUGCCCUUUUGCAUGUACUUUAUGAAUAAGGAUCGGCUAUCUCCGUGCCAGCAGCCGCGGUAAUACGGAGGAUCCGCGCGUUAUCCGGAUUUAUUGGGUUUAAAGGGAGCGUAGAUGGGUUGUUAAGUCAGUUGUGAAAGUUUGCGGCUCAACCGUAAAAUUGCAAUUGAUACUGGCAGUCUUGAGUACAGUUGAGGUAGGCGGAAUUCGUGGUGUAGCGGUGAAAUGCUGAGAUAUCACGAAGAACCCCGAUUGCGAAGGCAGCUUACUAAACUGUGACUGACAUUGAUGCUCGAAAGUGUGGGUAUCAAACAGGAUUAGAUACCCCAGUAGUC
Molecule: ribosomal RNA, 460 nt
Filed under: uncultured bacterium
Lineage: Bacteria
Description: partial 16S ribosomal RNA
Rfam family: Bacterial small subunit ribosomal RNA
Source: RNAcentral